UCUUGGUCAUUUAGAGGAAGUAAAAGUCGUAACAAGGUUUCCGUAGGUGAACCUGCGGAAGGAUCAUUACCUAGAGUUGUAGGCUUUGCCUGCUAUCUCUUACCCAUGUCUUUUAAGUACCUUCGUUUCCUCGGCGGGUUCGCCCGCCGAUUGGACAAUUUAAACCAUUUGCAGUUGCAAUCAGCGUCUGAAAAAACUUAAUAGUUACAACUUUCAACAACGGAUCUCUUGGUUCUGGCAUCGAUGAAGAACGCAGCGAAAUGCGAUAAGUAGUGUGAAUUGCAGAAUUCAGUGAAUCAUCGAAUCUUUGAACGCACAUUGCGCCCCUUGGUAUUCCAUGGGGCAUGCCUGUUCGAGCGUCAUUUGUACCUUCAAGCUCUGCUUGGUGUUGGGUGUUUGUCUCGCCUCUGCGUGUAGACUCGCCUCAAAACAAUUGGCAGCCGGCGUAUUGAUUUCGGAGCGCAGUACAUCUCGCGCUUUGCACUCAUAACGACGACGUCCAAAAGUACAUUUUUACACUCUUGACCUCGGAUCAGGUAGGGAUACCCGCUGAACUUAAGCAUAUCAAUAAGCGGAGGAA
RNAcentral lists this ribosomal RNA (580 nucleotides) under fungal sp. MG198C3R2x. RNAcentral describes it as "eukaryotic LSU rRNA". The stretch from base 209 to 362 matches the Rfam family "5.8S ribosomal RNA". Lineage: Eukaryota; Fungi. The record is from RNAcentral.